CAAUAGCGUAUAUUAAAGUUGUUGCAGUUAAAAAGACUCGUAGUUGAACUUCUGGUCAAGCGUGACCUUGGCUUCGGUCGAGGCAGGCAUGGCCAUCCGUCAGAAAACCAGGGAGGGUCUUAAGUGAUCGCUCUGGGGAUCUGACACUUUACUUUGAAAAACUAGAGUGUUCAUGGCAGGCUAACGCCCUGAAUACACAAGCAUGGAAUAAUAGAAUAGGACUGGGUCCAUUUUGUUGGUUAUUGGACGCAGUGAUGAUUAAUAGGGACAGUUGGGGGCGAUUAGUAUUUAAUUGUUCAGAGGUGGAAAUUACUUGGUAUUUAUUAAAGUAACUGACUUAUGCGAAAGCAUUUGCCAAGGAUGUUUUCAUUGAUCAAGAACGAAAG
RNAcentral lists this ribosomal RNA (386 nucleotides) under uncultured eukaryote. RNAcentral's name for it is "SSU rRNA". It matches the Rfam family "Eukaryotic small subunit ribosomal RNA", at positions 592 to 989 of the family's 1831-position model. The record is from RNAcentral.